CCUUGCUGCAUUUAAGUUUUAGUUUACAUUCUGCAAGUACUUUCUGGAGGCCAUCGAUGUAUAUGGAAACAAAAUCAUGGUACAUAACAAAGGGUUUUAUACUUUUUUCUCAGAAUAUUUUCCUGCACGUCGCCUCCACAAUAGAUAAUGUCCUUUGUAAAACUACUUAUAUAAGAUAUGCUUGCAGGUGGAUGUGUAUUUACUACCUCAGUCUGCUUUUCCAACUGGAGGUCUAUAUUUCAAGAAUAAAACAUGGGUCAAGGAGACAAAGGGCAAGCAUGUCCUUAUACAUAACAACUACAUAACAGGGUUUGAGAAAAAGAUUAAACGCUUCCGUGAUCAUAAACUAUGGCUGGUGGAUGAACACAGCGACGAGUCACCGCUUGGUAAAAUAUGAGCAAGCUGUAAAGGCUGGAGUACAUCUAUCCUAGCUGCAGCAUCACAAUUCUGUGGAUGGUGUCUGCCCAACCAGAUGUUGGAUGAUUUUCCACCCACCACAUGGAAUUCAACAGUCGAAUUUGAACACCAGACCCGCAUGCAGAAGACUCCAUUUUGUACAUCAAGGCCUUCAGCCUCAGGAGCUACGCUUUCUCAUGCAGUCCAGUCCAUCUUUCUGAAGCGCACUUUUGUAACUGGAAAUGGCUGGUCUAGGAAACCAGUAAGAUCUUAGGGCAUGAAUGAAGAGGUUUUGUGGCUAUGAAUAUCGUGCAAGUCCAUUGAUUAUUUCACUGUCUGUAUAGCAUUGUAAUUUUGUGAAUUUUACCAUUAUUACUGUCAAAAAACACAGCAUUUUUUGACACUAGAUCGCUUGUCAGUACAAUUGCUUCUCAUCUUUUCUAAAAUGCAUGCUCAUUCCAUUGUGGCCGUGCAAGUUUCCAUCAUUAACAUUCUUAUCUUUUCGAUACCGUCGCACGCCUAAGAAUCCAAUCUUUUCGUCGAAAAACCGCCUCCAAUUAUAGUAACAGAAUCCCAAGCUAGCGUCGGCGGGAGGGAGCUAGAAACAACUCCUGUUGUUGUACCCUUUCCUUUGAUGCCUCCCCCGCUUUGCUUUCCGCAGGAGCAACGCCGUUGCCUUGGCCUCACACAAGGAACACCGGCGACACGCACGCCCCCCACAUAUACUCCCUCCUAGCCCCCGUGCUUGCAUGUGCGCAAGAAACCUCCUUUCUUCUCACCACAGCAGGAAGGAAACCCACCCUCCUACGUCGACAGAGAUCAGAUCAAUGGGCCAGGCCGUCGCCAAGGCGAAGCAAGGUAUGAUCGUCGACGAACACUAGCUACCGGGCGGCGCGAUCUCGGGUCAUUCAUCUUUGCAAAUGCUUGCUGGUUUUGCUUCUGACAUGGCUUGAUGUUUGUGGUAGAGGCCGGGCGGGCGACGCAGAAGGCCGACAAGGACGGCAAGGCUGUGGCCAACCGUAAUGACGCCAAGGAGCAGCUCAUUGUGUUUAUGGAUAACCACUACGAUGAUAUAGUCAAGUCUGCGGAAACCUUCGAUCAAUUUUACCAUGCCAUUUUCGAACUCAUCGAGUAAGCCUUCUUCUCAAGAGUUAGAGAACCUUUGCUAUUGGGCCGGAUGAUUUUUUUUUUCAUAGUCCCUACAGCAUACAAAUUGGUAGAAUGAUUUUGUAGUUGAAUUAUUAUGGGAUACAUGCAGGAGUUGCCAUUUGAUUCCUAAGCCUUUUCGGAUUAAAAGUUCAUGCGUGCGUAUAAACAGGUACUACUCCCUUGGUGCAUACAAAAAAAAAA
Molecule: long non-coding RNA, 1746 nt
Filed under: Hordeum vulgare
Lineage: Eukaryota; Viridiplantae; Streptophyta; Magnoliopsida; Poales; Poaceae
Description: long non-coding RNA (HVUL_LNC001626)
Source: RNAcentral